AGUGAAGCGGGAUGAGCUCAAAUUUAAAAUCUGACUGGUUUACCAGCCCGAGUUGUAGUUUAAAGAAGCGUUUUCGGUGGCAGUCUCGGUAUAAAUCCUUUGGAAUAGGGUAUCAUAGAGGGUGAGAAUCCCGUCUUUGACUGAGAAUAUGCUACUAUGUGAUACGUUUUCAAAGAGUCGAGUUGUUUGGGAAUGCAGCUCAAAAUGGGUGGUAAAUUUCAUCUAAAGCUAAAUAUUGGCGAGAGACCGAUAGCGAACAAGUACCGUGAGGGAAAGAUGAAAAGAACUUUGAAAAGAGAGUUAAACAGUGCGUGAAAUUGUUGAAAGGGAAACGCUUGAAACCAGUCAUGCGGUUGGGAAAUCAGUCUCUGACGGGGGGGAAUGGGGGAGUUGUGGACCGCAAGGCCGCUCUUUUUCAUAUCUCUUUUGGCAGGGAUGCACUUUUUCUUCUGCAGGUCAACAUCAGUUUGCUUUGCCGGACAAAACUCUUGGGAAGGUGACAGCUUUGGCUGUGUUAUAGCCCUUGAGCGAUACGGUGGAGUGGACUGAGGUUUUCGCAGCAUGUGCUCUCGGGCAAGGCUGAUUGGGUGCUAUGAGAUCGUUCAGGGUACAAUACAUGUAUUUUGCCUUGUGUCUUUUUUAUACUCGCUCAACUCGGCUCUUCCAUGCUUAGGAUGUUGACAUAAUGGUUUUAAUCGACCCGUCUUGAAACACGGACCAAGGAGUCUAACAUAUAUGCAAGUGUUUGGGUGGCAAACCCAUGCGCGUAAUGAAAGUGAACGUAGGUGCGAUCCGCAAGGUGCAGCAUCGACCGAUCUUGAUAUUUUUGGAUAGAUUUGAGUAAGAGCAUAUAUGCUGGGACCCGAAAGAUGGUGAACUAUGCCUGAAUAGGGUGAAGCCAGAGGAAACUCUGGUGGAGGCUCGUAGCGAUUCUGACGUGCAAAUCGAUCGUCAAAUUUGGGUAUAGGGCGAAAAGACUA
This 980-nucleotide ribosomal RNA is filed under the name Mortierella elongatula. Its description in RNAcentral is "eukaryotic LSU rRNA". It matches the Rfam family "Eukaryotic large subunit ribosomal RNA", at positions 92 to 933 of the family's 3401-position model. Lineage: Eukaryota; Fungi; Mortierellomycota; Mortierellomycetes; Mortierellales; Mortierellaceae. The record is from RNAcentral.